This 3206-nucleotide long non-coding RNA is filed under the name Salmo salar (Atlantic salmon). RNAcentral's name for it is "lncRNA (ENSSSAG00000112899.1)". Lineage: Eukaryota; Metazoa; Chordata; Actinopteri; Salmoniformes; Salmonidae. The record is from RNAcentral.
AUCCCUACGGUGAAGCAUGGUGGUGGCAGCAUCCUGCUGUGGGGAUGUUUUUCAGCAGCAGGGACUGGGAGACUAGUCAGGAUCAAGGGAAAGAUGAACGGAGCAAAGUAAAGAGAGAUCCUUGAUGAAAACCUGCUCCAGAGCGCUUAGGACCUCAGCCUGGAGUGAAGGUUCUCCUUCCAACAGGACAACGACCCUAAGCACACAGCCAAGACAACGCAGGAGUGGCUUCAGGAGAAGUCUCUGAAUGUCCUUGAGUGGCUCAGUCAAAGCCCGGACUUGAACCCGAUCGAACAUCUCUGGAGAGACCUGAAAAUAGCUGUGCAGCGAUGCUCCCCAUCCAACCUGACAGAGCAUGAGAGGAUCUGCAGAGAAGAAUGGGAGAAACUCCCAAAUACAGGUGUGCCAAACUUGUAGCAUCACCCCCAAGACGACUUGAGGCUGUAAUCUCUGCCAAAGGUGCUUCAACAAGGAGAAGUUUGCAGACGACACAACCAUAGUAGGCCUGAUUACCAACAAUGACAAGACAGCCUACAGGGAGGAGGUGAGGGCCCUGGCAGAGUGGUGCCAGGAAAUGAACCUCUCACUCAACGUCAACAAAACGAAGGAGCUGAUCGUGGACUUCAGGAGAUAACAGAGCACGCCCCUAUCCAUAUAAACGGGACCACAGUGGAGAAGGUAAAAAGUUUCAAGUACCUCGGCGUACACAUCACUGACAAUCUGAAAUGGUCCAAACACACAGACAGUGUGGUGAAGAAGGUACAACAGCGCCUCUUCAACCUUAGGAGGCUGAAGAAAUUUGGCUUGGCCACAAAGACUCUCACAAACUUUUACAGAUGGACAAUUCAGAGCAUCCUGUUGGACUGUAUCACCGCCUGGUACGGCAACUGCACCGCAGGGAUCUCCAGAGGGUGGUGCGUUCUGCCCAACGCAUCACUGGGGGCACACUGCCUGCCCUCCAGGACACCUACAGCACCCGAUGUCACAGGAAGGCCAAAAAGUUCAACAAGGACAUCAAUCACCUGAGCCACGGCCUGUUCACACCGCUAUCAUCCAGAAGGCGUGGUCAGUACAGGUGCAGCAAAGCUGGGACCGAGAGACUGAAAAACAGCUUCUAUCUCAAAGUCAUCAGACUGUUAAAAACCUAUCACUAGCUGGCUACCACCCGGAAACUCAAUCCUGCACCUUGGAGGCUGCUGCCCUAUAAAUACAGUUGAAGUCAGAAGUUUACAUACACUUAGGUUGGAGUCAUUAAAACUAGUUUUUCAACCACUCCACAAACUUCUUGUUAACAAACUAUAGUUUUGUCAAGUCGGUUAGGACAUCUACUUCGUGCAUGACACAAGUAAUUUUUCCAACAAUUGUUAACAGACAGAUUAUUUCACUUAUUAUUCACUUAUUACUCAUAAAACGAGUCCUAUAUCAACAUACACUGAAAGGUCGCUCAGCAAGGAAGAAGCCACUGCUCCAAAACCACCAUAGAAAAAGACAGACUACGGUUUGCAACUGCACAUGCGUACAAAGAUUGUACUUUUUGGAGAAAUAUCCUCUGGUCUGAUGAAACAAAAAUUGAACUAUUUGGCCAUAAUGACCAUCGUUAUGUUUGGAGGAAAAAGGGGGAUGCUUGCAAGCCGAAGAACACCAUCCCAACCGUGAAGCACAGGGGUGGCAGUAUCAUGUUGUGGGGGUGCUUUGCUGCAGGAGGGACUGGUGCACUUCACAAAAUAGAUGACAUCAUGAAGCAGGAAAAUUAUGUGGAUAUAUUGAAGCAACAUCUCAAGACAUCAGUCAGGAAGUUAAAGCUUGGUCGCAAAUGGGUCUUCCAAAUUGACAAUGGCCCCAAGCAUACUUCCAAAGUAAGUGGCAAAAUGGAUUAAGGACAACAAAGCCAAGGUAUUGGAGUGGCCAUCACAAAGCCCUGACCUCAAUCCCAUAGAAAAUGUGUGGGCAGAACUGAAACAGCGUGUGCGAGCAAGGAAGCCUACAAACCUGACUCAGUUACACCAGCUCUGUCAGGAGGAAUGGGCCAAAAUUCACCCAACUUAUUGUGGAAAGCUUGUGGAAGGCUACCUGAAAUGUUUGACCUAAGUUAAACAAUUUAAAGUCAAUGCUACCAAAUACUAACUGAGUGUAUGUAAACGUCUGACCCACUGGGAAUGUGAUGAAAGAAAUAAAAGCUGAAAUAAAUCAUUCUCUCAACCAUUAUUGUGACAUUCUUAAAAUAAAGUGGUGAUCCUAAUUGACCUAAGACAGGGAAUUUGUACGAGGAUUAAAUGUCAGGAAUUGUGAAAAACUAAGUUUAAAUGUAUUUGGCUAAGGUGUAUGUAAACUUCUGACUUCAACUGUACAUAGACUUGGAAAAUAACGGAACAGUUGUCACAGUCGUCGAAAGGAUUAGACCAAGGCGCAGCGUGAAUAGUGCUCAUUCUUGAUACUUUAAUGAAUAACACUUUAACAAAAUAACAAACGACCAACAGUUCCAUCAGGUAAAACAACUAAACGGAAAAUAACCACCCACAAAACCCAAAGGAAAACAGGCUGCCUAAGUAUGACUUCCAAUCAGAGACAACGAAAGACACCUGCCUCUGAUUGGAAACCAUACUUGGCCAAACAUGGAAAACGAAAUAUAGAAAUAGAAAACUAGAACAAAUUCCCCUAGAAACAAAAAACCCCAAAACAACCCCCCUGCCACGCCCUGACCAUUCUACUAUGGCCAAUGACCUUUUUCACUGGUCAGGACAUGACAACAGUAGUCACUUUAAUAAUGUUUACAUACGGCUUUACUCAUUUCAUAUGUAUAUACUGUAUUCUAUUCUACUGUAUUUUAGUCUAUGCCACUCCAACAUUGCUCAUCCUAAUAAAUAUUGUUUAUUAAUUCCAUUAUUUUACUUUUAAAUUUUUGUGUAUUGUUGUGAACUGUAAGAUACUAUUGCGCUGUUGGAGCUAGAAACACAAGCAUUUCGCUACACCCGCAAAAACAUCUGAUAAACAUGUUUUUGAGAACAAUUAAAAUGUGAUUUUACAAAGUACUGAGUAAAGUGUCUGAAUACUUAUGUAAAUGUGAUAUUUUAGUUUUUAUUCAUAAUAAAUUUGCAAAGAUUCAAAUAAACUGUUUUUGCUUUGUCAUUAUGGGGUAUUGUGUGUAGAUUGAUUACGAAAAAAUGUAAUUUAAUCAAUUUUAGAAUAAGGCUGUAACAUACCAAAAU